This 61-nucleotide microRNA precursor is filed under the name Pelobates cultripes (western spadefoot toad). Lineage: Eukaryota; Metazoa; Chordata; Amphibia; Anura; Pelobatidae. The record is from RNAcentral.
UAGAACUGCAAUGUAAACAUUGCAGUUCUGUGGAUCUGCAGUGUUUUACAUUGCAACACUA